CGUUAGGGAAACGGGUGGUAAUGCUGGAUGCUCCAACUUGACGCAUGUCUUGUUGGGAAAGUGUUUAGUGGCAUGGGAUGGGGUCGCGUCCUAUCAGCUUGUAGGCGGGGUAAUGGCCCACCUAGGCUUCGACGGGUAGCCGGCCUGAGAGGGCGGACGGCCACAUUGGGACUGAGAUACGGCCCAGACUCCUACGGGAGGCAGCAGCCC
RNAcentral lists this ribosomal RNA (210 nucleotides) under uncultured Gardnerella sp. RNAcentral describes it as "partial 16S ribosomal RNA". It matches the Rfam family "Bacterial small subunit ribosomal RNA", at positions 147 to 355 of the family's 1533-position model. The record is from RNAcentral. Lineage: Bacteria; Bacillati; Actinomycetota; Actinomycetes; Bifidobacteriales; Bifidobacteriaceae.